CCUGUCGUCUCUCUCUCACCUGAUCUGUAGAAAAAAUUCUCCCGCGAUGGAACUCUUCUGCCAUUGAAACCAGAACAACACCGCUCUGGAAUUUUAGGUCAUCUUUCAGAAGGGGUGAAAGAUUUAAUCUGAGAUUUCACAUUGAGUUACUGCAGCUGCUAUACUAAUCAGAUGAAUGUGGAGUCAGCUGGGUUCCUUGGCCGCUAAAGAGAUAAGAGUAUUAGAUGGAUUAUCCUGAAUUAGGGGCUGCUUCCAAGUGUCUUUAAUGGUUUGAAUACACGGCAGUUCUUCCAAGUGUCUCGGAACUCCUCUUUCUAAUUCAGCUGCUUUUUCUACAUAGAAGGCGGGACAACUCCAAGGAGAGUAGAUUUUCCUUAUCAAGCCCUUAUCUAGUAAAUCUUUAAUUUCAGAUUUACAUAUUUCUAACAAUCUAUUAUUCAUUUGAAUUUGUCUGGCUUUUGUUGGAAUCAUUUUUUCAGAAAAAUCUGGUUCAUAAGGUAAUUCUACUAUAUGUUGUUUUCUUUCCCAGAAUGCAUUUGGGAUUUCAACACAAACUUCUUUUACUAAAAGAUCAUUAAGAUCAUUGAUUUGUUUUU
Long non-coding RNA from Papaver somniferum (opium poppy), 596 nucleotides. RefSeq lists it as uncharacterized. The transcript is spliced from 5 exons. Lineage: Eukaryota; Viridiplantae; Streptophyta; Magnoliopsida; Ranunculales; Papaveraceae. The record is from RefSeq and is a predicted model, not a curated record.